GAUGAACGCUGGCGGCGUGCCUAAUACAUGCCAGUCGAGCGAACAGACGAGGAGCUUGCUCCUCUGACGUUAGCGGCGGACGGGUGAGUAACACGUGGAUAACCUACCUAUAAGACUGGGAUAACUUCGGGAAACCGGAGCUAAUGCCGGAUAAUAUAUUGAACCGCAUGGUUCAAUAGUGAAAGACGGUUUUGCUGUCACUUAUAGAUGGAUCCGCGCCGCAUUAGCUAGUUGGUAAGGUAACGGCUUACCAAGGCAACGAUGCGUAGCCGACCUGAGAGGGUGAUCGGCCACACUGGAACUGAGACACGGUCCAGACUCCUACGGGAGGCAGCAGUAGGGAAUCUUCCGCAAUGGGCGAAAGCUUGACGGAGCAACGCCGCGUGAGUGAUGAAGGUCUUCGGAUCGUAAAACUCUGUUAUUAGGGAAGAACAAAUGUGUAGGUAACUAUGCACGUCUUGACGGUACCUAAUCAGAAAGCCACGGCUAACUACGU
This 496-nucleotide ribosomal RNA is filed under the name uncultured bacterium. Its description in RNAcentral is "partial 16S ribosomal RNA". It matches the Rfam family "Bacterial small subunit ribosomal RNA", at positions 28 to 506 of the family's 1533-position model. The record is from RNAcentral.